Molecule: ribosomal RNA, 465 nt
Filed under: uncultured bacterium
Lineage: Bacteria
Description: partial 16S ribosomal RNA
Rfam family: Bacterial small subunit ribosomal RNA
Source: RNAcentral
GACGAACGCUGGCGGCGUGCUUAACACAUGCAAGUCGAACGGAAAGGCCCCUUUGGGGGUACUCGAGUGGCGAACGGGUGAGUAACACGUGAGUAACCUGCCCUUGACUUCGGGAUAACUUCAGGAAACUGGGGCUAAUACCGGAUAGGAAUCCUUGCUGCAUGGUGGGGGUUGGAAAGCUUCGGCGGUUUUGGAUGGACUCGCGGCUUAUCAGCUUGUUGGUGGGGUAGUGGCUUACCAAGGCUUUGACGGGUAGCCGGCCUGAGAGGGCGACCGGCCACAUUGGGACUGAGAGACGGCCCAGACUCCUACGGGAGGCAGCAGUGGGGAAUAUUGCACAAUGGGCGGAAGCCUGAUGCAGCAACGCCGCGUGCGGGAUGACGGACUUCGGGUUGUAAACCGCUUUCAGCAGGGGCGAAGCUUGUGGUGACGGUACCUGCAGAAGAAGCACCGGCUAACUACGUG